Magnolia sinica is the source of this 3129-nucleotide RNA transcript. It is a transcript of the gene named GTP-binding protein OBGC, chloroplastic, with no coding region annotated. NCBI's taxonomy places the organism in Eukaryota, Viridiplantae, Streptophyta, Magnoliopsida, Magnoliales, Magnoliaceae. The transcript has 8 exons. The record is from RefSeq and is a predicted model, not a curated record.
CAAUCCUUUCCCCCCAUUUUACCGGCUUCUCCUCCUUCCCUCCAUCGCGGAAAAUGGCGUCUGUAGCAACCCCAUUCUUCUCCCACCUCCGCCCAUUUUCCGCCAAUGCCCGCCCGAAAAACAGAAAUUCACGAAAAUACCCCUCGAGAAACACAAACCCUAAUCUCAAAAUCCAAACUUCCAUAGGCAAUGAAGCCACAACGUACACCCGCCUUCCACCGAAAGACGAUUCCCUCCUACCGUUCGAUCUCCCUUCCAUCGAGAUCAAGCUCUCAGAAUCCUCCACGUCAGCACCGCAGGCCCCCACAAAAAUCUCAGAUCAAAGCCAAUCUAUUUCGGAUUCUCAUGUCGAUGAUUACGACGAUGACGAGGAAGUGUUGGGAUUUGAGUAUGAAGAAUCAGAAAACGUUUUCGAAGGUGGAGAUUUUGCGGAGGAAGAUGAAGAAGAAGGAGAGGAGAAGGAGAAGGGGGUCCCGGCAGUGAUGCGGUGCUUCGAUCGUGCGAAGAUCUACGUUAAGGCCGGGGAUGGAGGUAAUGGCGUUGUGGCGUUCCGCCGCGAGAAGUACGUGCCGUUUGGCGGCCCCUCGGGCGGGGAUGGAGGGCGGGGCGGGAAUGUGUAUGUUGAGGUCGAAGGAUCGAUGAAUUCGUUGCUUCCAUUCCGGAAGAACAUACAUUUUAGAGCGGGCCGGGGGAGCCAUGGGCAGGGGCGGAAGCAGGCUGGAGCGAAAGGUGAGGAUGUGGUUGUUAAGGUGGCGCCGGGGACAGUGAUUAGGGAGUCGAGGAGAGGAGAGGAAGAAGGGGAGGUGCUGAUGGAGUUGCUGUGGCCCGGGCAGCGGGCUAUGCUGCUGCCCGGUGGGAGGGGCGGGAGGGGGAAUGCUUCAUUCAAGUCAGGGACAAAUAAGGUGCCGAAGAUUGCAGAGAAAGGAGAAGAAGGGGCAGAAAUGUGGUUGGAUUUGGAGCUAAAGCUGGUUGCAGAUGUUGGGAUAGUUGGUGCUCCAAAUGCCGGAAAGAGCACCCUUCUCAGUGCUAUAAGUGCAGCUCAGCCCACAAUAGCAAAUUAUCCCUUCACAACUUUAUUACCAAAUUUAGGUGUAGUUUCAUUCGACUAUGAUGCUACAAUGGUUGUAGCAGAUCUUCCAGGUUUGCUUGAAGGUGCUCACCGAGGUUUUGGUUUAGGCCAUGAAUUUCUACGUCACACUGAAAGAUGUUCUGUCCUGGUUCAUGUUGUUGAUGGCUCAGGGCAGCAACCAGAAUACGAGUUUGAUGCAGUUCGUCUGGAGCUGGAAUUAUUUAGCCCAGAGAUGACAGAAAAACCUUUCAUAGUUGCAUAUAACAAGAUGGAUCUUCCAGAGGCAUCUGAGAAAUGGGCUUCAUUUGAGGAAUAUUUACAGGAUCGUGGUAUCCAUCCAUUUUGUAUGAGUGCAAUGACCAGGCAGGGAACUCAUGACGUGAUUUGUGCUGCCUAUGAACUUCUCCGAAAAAAAAUGGAAGUGAAGGAGGAACCUGCAGGUUGGACAGAUCCAGUGAAUCUGAAUCAUGUUGCGGAGACGAUACAGAAGCAGCGAAGUGCUUCCAUGAGUGACUUUGAAAUCUCUCAUGAUAGCAGCUCUAAUACGUGGCAUGUAGUUGGAGCCGGGAUACAACGCUUUGUUCAAAUGACCAAUUGGCAGUAUACAGAAUCUCUAAGAAGGUUCCAGCAUGUUUUAGAUGCAUGUGGUGUGAACAAAUCUCUCAUUAAACUUGGAGUCAAGGAAGGUGACACAGUGAUUGUGGGUGAGAUUGAGAUGGUGUGGAGCAAUGCUGCCAACAAAUUUGGCCCUGCGAACAUGAAAAAGGGAUCAGGAUCCAUCAAAUGGCCUCAGUGGGAGUAGCACAAGAAUAUUUGUGGCAGUUAUAAUUGCUGAAUCCUCACUCAGCAAACUCUACUUUCAUUGAGACUGGGGACCCAUUAAUCCGUACAUGUUCAUUGAAAUAAUCAAUUUAUCAGAGGGGAAUGAAACACCACAGCGGCAUUUGAUGGUUAGUAAUAAUUCUGUUUCCUUUUUCUUUUUGGUUGCUCUGCUAGUGUAUUAUUGAUUCUUCGAAUGGGAGCUAGUCUGUGUUUGGAUGCACCACCGGCUUGAAUUGCAAUCAUUGGCCCAAUGAACUGAAAAUGAUCAUAUUUUUUUUGGAAUGAUGCUGGAAAUGAUCAUAUUGCAACUACCUUACCAUUCAUAUCGAGGAACUGGACUCCAAUCAUGGUUAAAAGACUUUGGUGAUUCGGAUCUACUCGUUUGGCCCUGUGUCGAUUUGCGACUGGCUGGAGUUGGGGCUGAAUUGUCCGGACUCAAGGGUGACCGUGGCGUCGAACUGGAUUGGCUCCCACCAAGUCCUAGUUACACCUGACUCAGAUGAGUCCUAAAACCAUGGCUCCAAUUUGUUGUUAUCUUACUUUCAAGUUGGAACUGAAAGGAAUGUAACUGCAAUUUGAGGGGGAACACGUUUAAAAAGAAAAAAAAAAGCUGCAAGUUUGAUGACUACUUCCUCGCUAUGAAUAGCAACGUAAGUAUAUGAUUUGGGCUGCUUCUUUCCAUUGAGCUAAUUACUACAAUUCAAUUGGGUAAUGCAUCCAAAUACCGCUCUUGUUUCUUUGUCAUGGAUUUCAACAGCUGAACUCCUUAGGAAUGGUUAGCUGUCUGGGCCUGAAUCUCUAAAUCUUUUGAUUUGAAGCAAUUGAAGGAGGUGAAGACGAGGCAUUGACUGGUCAGAACAUUCCCAGCAAUUCAUGGGCAGAUUGCGCAAGACGCGUGAUAAAAGGCAGAAGGAAACUGCCUAAAAUAUGAAAGGCUCGCUCUAUUUUCAGUCUUGCCUUGUCAUUAAUACAAUUUUCUUAUUACUAGUAAAAAUAGAAGCUGGUCAUAUUACACAAUAUUGCUUCUAGAAAUUCAUCCUGCCCAGUAAAAAACCCUCUAAAUCAGGGUUACCCUAAUGUUGUUCUUCUCCACUGUCGAGUCCGAGAGUCGAGUUACUGAGUUCGCCCAACUAGCCUGUACAUUGGAUGUGGUCCUCAGAUCAAACUACCUGGUUCUAAUCUGAGCUCUCCAGCUGUUUCUAAUUUAAGUUGUAAUAAGCAUUGGAUUGUCUUAUUAA